This 486-nucleotide ribosomal RNA is filed under the name uncultured bacterium. Its description in RNAcentral is "bacterial SSU rRNA". It matches the Rfam family "Bacterial small subunit ribosomal RNA", at positions 38 to 498 of the family's 1533-position model. The record is from RNAcentral.
GGCGGCGUGGUUGAGGCAUGCAAGUCGCACGAGAACGGGGUAGCAAUACCCCUAGUAAAGUGGCGGAAGGGUGAGGAAUGGGUAGAUAACGUACCUUUGAGAUGGGCAUAACGGCUCGAAAGAGCCGCUAAUUCCCGAUAAGACCACGACUGGGCAUCCAGUUGAGGUCAAUGGCUGGGGAUCCUCGGACCUAGCGCUCAUGGAUCGGUCUACUCCCUACCAGCUAGUUGGCGGGGUAACGGCCCACCAAGGCUGCGACGGGUACCCGGGCUGGGAGGCUGAUCGGGCACAUCGGCACUGAGACACUGGCCGGACACCUACGGGUGGCUGCAGUUCGGAAUAUUCGGCAAUGGACGAAAGUCUGACCGAGCGACGCCGCGUGCGGGAUGAAGGCCCUUUGGGUUGUAAACCGCUGUCACAGGUGAGCAAAUCACAUUUAGUGAACAACUAAGUGUGUUGAGUUAAGCUUGAGAGGAAGCCCCCGCU